This is a long non-coding RNA of Gorilla gorilla gorilla (western lowland gorilla), 361 nucleotides long. RefSeq lists it as uncharacterized. NCBI's taxonomy places the organism in Eukaryota, Metazoa, Chordata, Mammalia, Primates, Hominidae. The record is from RefSeq and is a predicted model, not a curated record. The transcript has 3 exons.
CCAGGAUUUGUUCCACUGCCCUGCCCACUGGAAGUUCCAGGACAAUCUCUGUCUCCUUUCAGCCUCAGGAGUCUUUUGGCAGGAGAGAACAGAAAAUCCUUGGGAUUGGCGUUUCUAGAUUAUAUUCUUAUCUAGCACACGGCCUAGAAUACACAGGGGACAAAAAGAAAACACAGCUUUCCUUAUUCCUGAAAAUGACCAAGCCAAGAUUUCUGGGAAGAUAUGGAGAGAAACUAUUAUGAAAUGGAAAGGGGCCUGAACUGGGUGGAAUGAGAUCAGUGAAAAGUCCUGGGGGUACUCCACCAAAAAAACAUCAAAAGAAGAACUGAAAAUGAAAGUAAAGCCUAUGUUGAAUUAGAAA